GGAGAGUCCCACGUCGGCUCCUAUGCUGCACAAACCAAGUUUAUGCAGUUUUCUCCUGUUGUUUGUUUGUUUGUUUGUUUUUCCCUGGGGUAUUGCAUCCUCCCCUGUCCCAGGGUCCAUGCUGAGCUAGAGGGAACUGCGCGCAGCCAGCACCGGGGGGGCAUAAGGGGAGCCCCCAAGGUAUCUCCCACCCAGGGCACAGAGCUUCAGUGGGGCAGUGGGAAAAGGGCAUGGGGGUACGGCUUGGGUACGGCUCCCCGGUGGCUGUCCCAGAGCGAGGCACCACCAGUGAUGGCUCGUGUGGGAUGUGGGGCUUGGGAAGGUGAUGGGAGCUCUGGGGGUCCCAUGGGAUCGCGCCUGGGAACGUGGUGCUGUUGCUGUUGCUGCUGCUGGUGGCCCUGACCUAGAGAUGGGAUGGCCGGGAGCCAGGCGGUGGCCGGGACAGGGUGGGGCGAUACGUUUGCCAGCACGCAGCUUUUCAGUCACCGGGCUGAAACUGAAAGGAGCCACUGAGCUGGGCACUAGCUGUACGGCGGAGCUCCGGUGGACACGGUGCCGCCAUGGAGCUGGGGAACAUCUCGCAGCCCGUGUACGGCCCUGGCCUCGAGGAGCCGAGCAGUAGCACGCUGGGGCUGGUCCGCAUGGCGCACGGCUUCCUGAGGCUGGUGCAGCCCCACGGUUUCCCUCUGGAGCUGGUAGCGCAUCUGGUGCAGACACAGGGUGAGGCGGUGUCCAAGGAGCACAAGGAGGAGCUGCAGCGUUACGAGCUGGGCUUCCUGGUGUGCGUGGCCAUCGGGCUGCUCUUCGCCGUCCUGGUGCCGCUGGUGGGAUGCUGCUUCUGCUGCUGCCGCUGCUGCGGGCGCUGCGGGGGCCGCAUGUCCCAGAAGCAGGACCGGUGGACACGCAGCCGGCGCCGGGUGCUGUACAGCGCGGUGCUGCUGGUGUCGGCGCUCCUGCUGGCCGGCGAUGUGUGCGCCUUCAUCAGCAACACCCGCUUCUCGCAAUCCGUGAGCGGCGCCUUCCCCAACAUCAACAGCACCGUGCAUGACCUCCGCUCCUACCUGCUCUCCAUCCCCCAGCAAGUCAGCUUUGUCAUCAACAGCAGCAACGUCCCAUUGGGCAACACCAAUGACAGCCUACAGAACAUCGGGUCCCUCCUGGGCGGCAGGAUCGUCUCCAGCAUCAGGAGCAGCACUGACGAGGCGCUGGGAUCCCUGCAGAGCCUUCUGAGAGCGAUGGAGAUGCUGGCGGCCACCUUUCGCACCAUCAACAGCACUCGCCAGCGCCUGGAGGAGCUGCAGGGCACCUACGAUGGGCAGCUAGGCACGCUGCGGGCACACAUCAAGGGCACCCUGCAGCGCUGUGGGCAGCCCUGCCACACCGCCUCGCCCAGUGGUGUGGCCUUUGGGGCCAACUACAGCACGGUGCCCGACGUGGAGCGGCAGCUGGAGGCGCUGCGGGAUGUGCUGGACAGUGGCAUAGAGGGGGAUUUGGAGGUGAUCAGCAUGCUAAAGCAGGCCCCCAGCAAGGUGCAAGAGCAGUCCCAGGACGUGGUGACACGGACACAGGAGCAGCUGGGGCACAUCAGGCAGGAGAUCCGCAGCCUGCAGGACCAGCUGCCGCUGCAGGACAUGGAGGAGAGAGCCGGGAACUUGGUAAACCAAACCAGUGCCGUGCUGUUGGACCACCAGAAGAAGGUCACCGACCUGGAUGGGAUCAGGUGGAGCGUGUGCGCCCUGCUGUGCUGCAUGGUGCUGCUGGUGGUCCUGUGCAACACCUGUGGGCUGCUGCUGGGGCCGCUGGGGCACAAGGAGAGCACGCUGCCCACACAGCGCGGCUGCCUCUCCAACACUGGAGGGAACUUCUUCAUGGCAGGAGUGGGCUUCAGCUUCAUCUUCUCCUGGCUGCUGAUGCUGCUGGUGCUGCUCAUCUUCUUCCUGGGGGGCAACACCUACAUGCUGGUCUGCGAGUCCUGGCGCAGCCAGCAGCUCUUCCAGCUCGUGGAUACCCCCGGCCUCAUCCCUGGCUUCAACCUGUCGGAAGUGCUGGGCGAUGAGAGCGGCACCGUCACAUUCUCGCGGAUCUACAGGCAGUGCCAGCAGGAUGCUGCCCUAUGGCAGACGCUGCAGCUGGACCAGAGGGUGUCCUUGGAUGAGCUCCUGAACAUCAGCCAGUACACGGGGGAGAUCUCAGCAGCUUUCCAGAAACUGAACGUCAUCCUGACCCCCAUCUCCGUGCUGAACGAGAGCCAGCGGGAGCUGCUGCUGAACGCCUGCCGUGAUGCGCAGCCCCCCAACUUCACCCUCACCCUACAGCAGCUGGAUCAGGGUGUCACGGCGGGCAGCCUACGGGAACUGGCCGUGGAGCUGGAGCAGCUGGUGCACCAUGCGGGUGCAGAUGUGCAGAGGGACCUGAAAGCACAUGCUGCUAAACUGCUGGAGCUGGACAGGGAGCUGGACGCCAACUUCUCGGGGCCACUGGAAACCCUGAAGGAGAACAUCCAGCUGGUGCAGAGCCAGGCUGCCCAGCUCGAGGCACAGACAAACUCUACGUUGGACAAAGCCAGCGCCACAGAGGAGUUCCUGGGGCGGGAGAUGGGGAACAUCAUCAAGAAUGAGACGUGGGCCUUUCUGGAGGAGCUGCUGGGCUUCUUUGAGACCUACAUCACCUGGGCCAAGAGCAGUCUGAGGAGGGAUGUGGCACGCUGCAAGCCCAUAGCCCAGAGCCUGGAUAAUGUGGAGGCCAUCGCCUGUGACCACAUCCUGGACUCCAUGAAUGCCUUCUGGUUCAGCCUGGGCUGGUGCACCGUCUUCCUGCUGCCCAGCAUCAUCUUGGCCGUGCGACUCGCCAAGUUCUACCGCCGCAUGGACAUCAGCGAUGACUACAGGAAUGAAGCUGUGGAGAUGUAAGUAGCAGUGCUGGGUCCCUACCUGGGGUAAAUCCGGGGACACAAGGGACAAGGAGAGGAACCCAGAAAGCACAAGCUGAGAUGGGUGCAGGCAGCAGGAGGACCCGCAUUCAACCUGUACAAAAUCCCCCGGCCAGCUACAAGGCAUUAGGCUCCAUCACCAUGGCACAGGCACUGAGGACACUGAACAUGACCGCUCGCUCUGCUGCGUCUUCUCCCUUAGCCCUGGGAGCCUCCUCCCCACUUCCUAAUAAGUGGUGAUGUGCUGCAGCUGUGCAGCAGCCUGCAGGAGAACGGAGUGCACCCUUUGCACUGCCCAACGUGGGGCUUUACUACCCCCCAUCACCCGGGGCUGGUGGCAGGGAAGAGGAGAAGGUAGCAGAGCCUCUCCCCCAUGGCUCAUCCCAGCCAUGCCCCGGGGUCAGGAACCCCCAGUAUGCGUGCAGCCAGAUGCUGCUGGCUGAGGGGACCCUGCUUACCCAAGCCCCUCACGUAUUUAUUUGUGCAGGGAGCCUGACUCUCCAAUGCUGUGAUUUGGGGUGUAACACAAUAAAUGAGGUGAUUGCGUGUUGCAGGUA
Molecule: RNA transcript, 3486 nt
Organism: Numida meleagris (helmeted guineafowl)
Lineage: Eukaryota; Metazoa; Chordata; Aves; Galliformes; Numididae
Gene name: prominin-1-A-like
Exons: 25
Source: RefSeq, a predicted model, not a curated record